RNAcentral lists this ribosomal RNA (2771 nucleotides) under Klebsiella pneumoniae. Its description in RNAcentral is "bacterial LSU rRNA". It matches the Rfam family "Bacterial large subunit ribosomal RNA". The record is from RNAcentral. RNAcentral also lists the same sequence under 1 other name. Lineage: Bacteria; Pseudomonadati; Pseudomonadota; Gammaproteobacteria; Enterobacterales; Enterobacteriaceae.
AGCGUACACGGUGGAUGCCCUGGCAGUCAGAGGCGAUGAAGGACGUGCUAAUCUGCGAAAAGCGUCGGUAAGGUGAUAUGAACCGUUAUAACCGGCGAUGUCCGAAUGGGGAAACCCAGUGCAAUUCGUUGCACUAUCGUUAACUGAAUACAUAGGUUAACGAGGCGAACCGGGGGAACUGAAACAUCUAAGUACCCCGAGGAAAAGAAAUCAACCGAGAUUCCCCCAGUAGCGGCGAGCGAACGGGGAGCAGCCCAGAGUCUGAAUCAGCUUGUGUGUUAGUGGAACGGUCUGGAAAGUCCGACGGUACAGGGUGAUAGUCCCGUACACCAAAAUGCACAGGCUGUGAACUCGAAGAGUAGGGCGGGACACGUGGUAUCCUGUCUGAAUAUGGGGGGACCAUCCUCCAAGGCUAAAUACUCCUGACUGACCGAUAGUGAACCAGUACCGUGAGGGAAAGGCGAAAAGAACCCCGGCGAGGGGAGUGAAAAAGAACCUGAAACCGUGUACGUACAAGCAGUGGGAGCACCUUCGGGUGUGACUGCGUACCUUUUGUAUAAUGGGUCAGCGACUUAUAUUCUGUAGCAAGGUUAACCGUAUAGGGGAGCCGCAGGGAAACCGAGUCUUAACUGGGCGUUAAGUUGCAGGGUAUAGACCCGAAACCCGGUGAUCUAGCCAUGGGCAGGUUGAAGGUUGGGUAACACUAACUGGAGGACCGAACCGACUAAUGUUGAAAAAUUAGCGGAUGACUUGUGGCUGGGGGUGAAAGGCCAAUCAAACCGGGAGAUAGCUGGUUCUCCCCGAAAGCUAUUUAGGUAGCGCCUCGUGAACUCAUCUUCGGGGGUAGAGCACUGUUUCGGCUAGGGGGUCAUCCCGACUUACCAACCCGAUGCAAACUACGAAUACCGAAGAAUGUUAUCACGGGAGACACACGGCGGGUGCUAACGUCCGUCGUGAAGAGGGAAACAACCCAGACCGCCAGCUAAGGUCCCAAAGUCAUGGUUAAGUGGGAAACGAUGUGGGAAGGCACAGACAGCCAGGAUGUUGGCUUAGAAGCAGCCAUCAUUUAAAGAAAGCGUAAUAGCUCACUGGUCGAGUCGGCCUGCGCGGAAGAUGUAACGGGGCUAAACCAUGCACCGAAGCUGCGGCAGCGACACUAUGUGUUGUUGGGUAGGGGAGCGUUCUGUAAGCCUGCGAAGGUGACCUGUGAGGGUUGCUGGAGGUAUCAGAAGUGCGAAUGCUGACAUAAGUAACGAUAAAGCGGGUGAAAAGCCCGCUCGCCGGAAGACCAAGGGUUCCUGUCCAACGUUAAUCGGGGCAGGGUGAGUCGACCCCUAAGGCGAGGCCGAAAGGCGUAGUCGAUGGGAAACAGGUUAAUAUUCCUGUACUUGGUGUUACUGCGAAGGGGGGACGGAGAAGGCUAUGUUAGCCGGGCGACGGUUGUCCCGGUUUAAGCAUGUAGGCUGGUUGUCCAGGCAAAUCCGGAUAAUCAAGGCUGAGGUGUGAUGACGAGGCACUACGGUGCUGAAGUAACAAAUGCCCUGCUUCCAGGAAAAGCCUCUAAGCAUCAGGUAACAUUAAAUCGUACCCCAAACCGACACAGGUGGUCAGGUAGAGAAUACCAAGGCGCUUGAGAGAACUCGGGUGAAGGAACUAGGCAAAAUGGUGCCGUAACUUCGGGAGAAGGCACGCUGGUGUGUAGGUGAAGUCCCUGCGGAUGGAGCUGAGACCAGUCGAAGAUACCAGCUGGCUGCAACUGUUUAUUAAAAACACAGCACUGUGCAAACACGAAAGUGGACGUAUACGGUGUGACGCCUGCCCGGUGCCGGAAGGUUAAUUGAUGGGGUUAUCCGUAAGGAGAAGCUCUUGAUCGAAGCCCCGGUAAACGGCGGCCGUAACUAUAACGGUCCUAAGGUAGCGAAAUUCCUUGUCGGGUAAGUUCCGACCUGCACGAAUGGCGUAAUGAUGGCCAGGCUGUCUCCACCCGAGACUCAGUGAAAUUGAACUCGCUGUGAAGAUGCAGUGUACCCGCGGCAAGACGGAAAGACCCCGUGAACCUUUACUAUAGCUUGACACUGAACAUUGAGCCUUGAUGUGUAGGAUAGGUGGGAGGCUUUGAAGCGUGGACGCCAGUCUGCGUGGAGCCAACCUUGAAAUACCACCCUUUAAUGUUUGAUGUUCUAACGUUGGCCCCUGACCGGGGUUGCGGACAGUGUCUGGUGGGUAGUUUGACUGGGGCGGUCUCCUCCCAAAGCGUAACGGAGGAGCACGAAGGUUAGCUAAUCCUGGUCGGACAUCAGGAGGUUAGUGCAAUGGCAUAAGCUAGCUUGACUGCGAGCGUGACGGCGCGAGCAGGUGCGAAAGCAGGUCAUAGUGAUCCGGUGGUUCUGAAUGGAAGGGCCAUCGCUCAACGGAUAAAAGGUACUCCGGGGAUAACAGGCUGAUACCGCCCAAGAGUUCAUAUCGACGGCGGUGUUUGGCACCUCGAUGUCGGCUCAUCACAUCCUGGGGCUGAAGUAGGUCCCAAGGGUAUGGCUGUUCGCCAUUUAAAGUGGUACGCGAGCUGGGUUUAGAACGUCGUGAGACAGUUCGGUCCCUAUCUGCCGUGGGCGCUGGAGAAUUGAGGGGGGCUGCUCCUAGUACGAGAGGACCGGAGUGGACGCAUCACUGGUGUUCGGGUUGUCAUGCCAAUGGCACUGCCCGGUAGCUAAAUGCGGAAGAGAUAAGUGCUGAAAGCAUCUAAGCACGAAACUUGCCCCGAGAUGAGUUCU